CCUACGGGAGGCAGCAGUGAGGAAUAUUGGUCAAUGGGCGGAAGCCUGAACCAGCCAAGUAGCGUGCGGGAUGAAGGCCCUACGGGUCGUAAACCGCUUUUGCACGGGGAUAACACCCUCCACUUGUGGCGGUCUGCAGGUACCGUUCGAAUAAGGGCCGGCUAAUUCCGUGCCAGCAGCCGCGGUAAUACGGAAGGCCCGAGCGUUAUCCGGAUUCAUUGGGCUUAAAGGGAGCGUAGGCGGGCGUUCAAGUCAGCGGUAAAAUCGCGCGGCUCAACCGCUCCCCGCAGUUGAAACUGGAAGUCUUGAGUGCACAACAGGCAGGCGGAAUUCGUGGUGUAGCGGUGAAAUGCAUAGAUAUCACGAGGAACCCCGAUUGCGAAGGCAGCCGGCCGGGGUGCGACUGACGCUGAGGCUCGAAGGUGUGGGUAUCAAACAGGAUUAGAUACCCUGGUAGUC
This 459-nucleotide ribosomal RNA is filed under the name uncultured bacterium. RNAcentral's name for it is "partial 16S ribosomal RNA". It matches the Rfam family "Bacterial small subunit ribosomal RNA", at positions 338 to 795 of the family's 1533-position model. The record is from RNAcentral.